AUUGAACGCUGGCGGCAUGCCUUACACAUGCAAGUCGAACGGUAACAGGUUAAUCUGACGAGUGGCGAACGGGUGAGUAAUGUAUCGGAACGUGCCCCGUCGUGGGGGAUAACUGCUCGAAAGAGCAGCUAAUACCGCAUACGACCUGAGGGUGAAAGCGGGGGAUCGCAAGACCUCGCGCGAUUGGAGCGGCCGAUAUCAGAUUAGGUAGUUGGUGAGGUAAAGGCUCACCAAGCCGACGAUCUGUAGCUGGUCUGAGAGGACGACCAGCCACACUGGGACUGAGACACGGCCCAGACUCCUACGGGAGGCAGCAGUGGGGAAUUUUGGACAAUGGGCGCAAGCCUGAUCCAGCCAUGCCGCGUGCGGGAAGAAGGCCUUCGGGUUGUAAACCGCUUUUGUCAGGGAAGAAAAGGUUCUGGCUAAUACCUGGGACUCAUGACGGUACCUGAAGAAUAAGCACCGGCUAACUACGUG
Molecule: ribosomal RNA, 477 nt
Filed under: uncultured bacterium
Lineage: Bacteria
Description: partial 16S ribosomal RNA
Rfam family: Bacterial small subunit ribosomal RNA
Source: RNAcentral